Molecule: ribosomal RNA, 497 nt
Filed under: uncultured bacterium
Lineage: Bacteria
Description: partial 16S ribosomal RNA
Rfam family: Bacterial small subunit ribosomal RNA
Source: RNAcentral
GAUGAACGCUGGCGGCGUGCCUAAUACAUGCAAGUCGAGCGAACAGACGAGGAGCUUGCUCCUCUGACGUUAGCGGCGGACGGGUGAGUAACACGUGGAUAACCUACCUAUAAGACUGGGAUAACUUCGGGAAACCGGAGCUAAUACCGGAUAAUAUAUUGAACCGCAGGGUUCAAUAGUGAAAGACGGUUUUGCUGUCACUUAUAGAUGGAUCCGCGCCGCAUUAGCUAGUUGGUAAGGUAACGGCUUACCAAGGCGACGAUGCGUAGCCGACCUGAGAGGGUGAUCGGCCACACUGGAACUGAGACACGGUCCAGACUCCUACGGGAGGCAGCAGUAGGGAAUCUUCCGCAAUGGGCGAAAGCCUGACGGAGCAACGCCGCGUGAGUGAUGAAGGUCUUCGGAUCGUAAAACUCUGUUAUUAGGGAAGAACAAAUGUGUGAGUAACUAUGCACGUCUUGACGGUACCUAAUCAGAAAGCCACGGCUAACUACGUG